GACGAACGCUGGCGGCGUGCUUAACACAUGCAAGUCGAACGGAAAGGCACUGCUUUUGUGGGGUGCUCGAGUGGCGAACGGGUGAGUAACACGUGAGUAACCUGCCCUUGACUUUGGGAUAACUUCAGGAAACUGGGGCUAAUACCGGAUAGGAGCUCCUGCUGCAUGGUGGGGGUUGGAAAGUUUCGGCGGUUGGGGAUGGACUCGCGGCUUAUCAGCUUGUUGGUGGGGUAGUGGCUGACCAAGCCUGUGACGGGUAGCCGGCCUGAGAGGGUGGACGGCGACAUGGGGACUGCGAGAGGGCGCAGAGGGCAAUGGUAGGCAGUAGGGGGGAGCAUGGUACAAUGGGCGGACGUCUGAGGCAGAAACGUUGGGGGUGUGAUGACGGCUUGUGGGGUGUGAACCGCUUUCGCCUGUGACGAAGCGGGAGUGACGGUAAUGGAUAAAGAAGCACCGGCUAACUACGUG
Molecule: ribosomal RNA, 468 nt
Filed under: uncultured bacterium
Lineage: Bacteria
Description: partial 16S ribosomal RNA
Rfam family: Bacterial small subunit ribosomal RNA
Source: RNAcentral